UUCCAUGUCUAUCAUCUAUUUAUCCAUCCAUCAUUCACUCAUCCACCCAUCCAUGUAUCUAUCUAGCCAUCUAUCACCUAUCUCUCCAUCCCUCCCUCCCUCCUUCCCCCCCCCAACCCCACUCUCAGAAGCUAAAGAUUCCACAUGACUCAGAGGCAGCGUCUAUGGAAUUUUACCAUGUGUGUUCCUGGGAAGAACCCUCAGGAUUUCCCUGUCAUCUGUCCUUUGCAUUCUGACCGAUGGCACACCUGUGGCCAAAAUCUAGGAAAACUGCACGAUUUUCAUGGUGUUUUCUUUGGUUGGCUUGUUGGAGUUCAUGUUUGUGACUGGCUCCAAUUUAGGACACGCCCAGGGGCCCGUCCUUUCCUCUGUGCACAACAGUUGGGCAACUUGGUCAUCUGGAAUCAACGACACCUGCUCAGGCCAGCUCUCCAAGGGGCCGGGACACCACGGAAGCCGGGGGAAAGGUGGAGUUGGGAAGUAUAGACCUUCCGAGUUGCAAGUGUUCUCAACAACGUUCCCGGACCACGUGGAGUCAGCCACAUUCCAAGCAUCUCUAAUCCGGGCAGACGUCCUCAUGCCACGGAUGUGUAGAAGGAUGCAACCUACCCUCCACUUUUUUCCAGCUUCUCGAAACAUGUCGGGCAGGUGCCCUGAGGCUCCCAGGUCAGAGGGAGGCUCCUCGGAAGUGACGGCUGAGUCGUAGGGAAACCGGAAUGCCCUGGUCAACGGGGCCCCAGGCGCCCCACCCGUGCCUAAGAGCGAGCGAUGUGUCCAACUGGAAAGCGGCAGAGCCACGCGUAGGCCGCCAACGGGAAGGAGACCAUCGGGAAGGGUUCACUCGAAAAUGGGAAAGAUGAGGCUGGCUGGAGCCGUGGUCUGCUGCUCCAGCCGGUCGGUCAGUCAGUCGGUCGUCAAGCCAAC
This 924-nucleotide long non-coding RNA is filed under the name Equus asinus (donkey). RNAcentral describes it as "lncRNA (ENSEASG00005038477.1)". The record is from RNAcentral. Lineage: Eukaryota; Metazoa; Chordata; Mammalia; Perissodactyla; Equidae.